This is a long non-coding RNA of Oxyura jamaicensis (ruddy duck), 362 nucleotides long. RefSeq lists it as uncharacterized. The record is from RefSeq and is a predicted model, not a curated record. The transcript has 2 exons. Lineage: Eukaryota; Metazoa; Chordata; Aves; Anseriformes; Anatidae.
UUGCCAGUUCCUGGAAAUCCAGGCCCUUUCCCUCCUUCCCUCCCCACUCAGGACAAGCUCAGCUGUGGUGGUGCCAGCAGUCAGGAGCUGUGUGUGGGUGGGCCCCUGUUUGUCCAGGGGCCCACCUGCACAAUUUCUCAUGGAGAUGCUUCCCUGGCACUGAGAACUUGCACAGAUGAUCUGAUUUACAGAUGGUUACAAGAAGUAAAGAAAUACUGGCAACACGCUGAAAGCAAACAAGAAAGCUCCAGUUUGUUGACAACUUCCAAGAAAGGAAGAAGAAAACUGAAAACUACCAAGACAGUAAAUAAAACAGUGUUAAGCUGGGUAAGCAGGGGAAAUUAAAAUAAUUUUAAUUCAAA